RNAcentral lists this transfer RNA (78 nucleotides) under Gaiella sp. SCGC AG-212-M14. Its description in RNAcentral is "tRNA-Pro". It matches the Rfam family "tRNA". Rfam says of the family: Transfer RNA (tRNA) molecules are approximately 80 nucleotides in length. Their secondary structure includes four short double-helical elements and three loops (D, anti-codon, and T loops). The record is from RNAcentral. Lineage: Bacteria; Bacillati; Actinomycetota; Thermoleophilia; Gaiellales; Gaiellaceae.
CGGGGCGUAGCUCAGCCUGGUUAGAGUGCUGCGUUUGGGACGCAGAAGUCGCCGGUUCGAAUCCGGCCGCCCCGACCU